ACGACCGGCGCACGGGUGAGUAACGCGUAUGCAACCUACCUAUAACACAAUGAUAGCUGGCGGAAACGGGAAUUAAUACUUGAUGACAUUCAAAGAUGGCAUCAUCAAUGAAUCAAAGUUCCGGCGGUUAUAGAUGGGCAUGCGUGACAUUAGCUAGUUGGUGAGGUAGAGGCUCACCAAGGCGACGAUGUCUAGGGGGUCUGAGAGGAUGAUCCCCCACACUGGUACUGAGACACGGACCAGACUCCUAGGGGAGGCAGCAGUGAGGAAUAUUGCGCAAUGGAGGAAACUCUGACGCAGCCAUCCCGCGUGCAGGAUUGACGGCCCUAUGGGUUGUAAACUGCUUUUCUAUACCAAGAAACACCGAUACGUGUAUCGGUUUGCCGGUAGUAUAGGAAUAAGCAUCGGCUAACUCCGUGCCAGCAGCCGCGGUAAUACGGAGGAUGCAAGCGUUAUCCGGAAUCACUGGGUUUAAAGGGUGCGUAGGCGGCAUUAUAAGUCAGAGGUGAAAGCCCACAGCUCAACUGUGGAAUUGCCUUUGAUACUGUCAUUCUUGAGUGUA
Molecule: ribosomal RNA, 562 nt
Filed under: uncultured organism
Description: bacterial SSU rRNA
Rfam family: Bacterial small subunit ribosomal RNA
Source: RNAcentral